GUGCGCGUGCGCAGUGUGUUUUCUCUGUAAUUCUGGGCCGUGUUCCGGAAGCCUCGUAAGACAAAAGCGAACGAGAGGCGGAAAAAAGGAAGACGCUUCCUGAAGUUGGGGAUGCUGGACUAGUUUUCAUACUAGAUCCCCUCGUGGCAGCAUUAAGGAACUUCACAUUCUUCUCACACUAUUCAUGGAAAGUUCCUGGAACUCCCACAGCAGCAAGAAAACUUCGCUUGUAGGAGUCCUUAGCACAUCUGUAAAGUUUUAUUGGCCAAAAUGUGAUACAUCUCCAUUUCUGGAUCAGUCACUGUGGUCAAGUGCAAGACGCUCUACAGGACUCAACCUGGGGAUGAGGUCUGUCUACUCCAUCCAUAUGGUCACUUUAUACUGAGGUUGGUUAACAGGACUUGAGAAGAUCACCAGGUCAACCUUGGAAAUCAUGCGUUGAAGGUGGUAAAUACUACAGCCUUCCUGGACUAUGAUAAAGGAACCUGCUCCAGCUGUGAG
This 501-nucleotide long non-coding RNA is filed under the name Homo sapiens (human). RNAcentral describes it as "HSALNT0127858". Lineage: Eukaryota; Metazoa; Chordata; Mammalia; Primates; Hominidae. The record is from RNAcentral.